AGUUCGGAUUGUAGUCUGCAACCCGACUACAUGAAGCCGGAAUCGCUAGUAAUCGCGGAUCAGAAUGCCGCGGUGAAUACGUUCCCGGGUCUUGUACACACCGCCCGUCAAACCAUGAGAGUUGGCAACACCCGAAGUCGGUAGUCUAACCGCAAGGAGGACGCCGCCGAAGGUGGGGUUGAUGAUUAGGGUUAAGUCGUAACAAGGUAAC
RNAcentral lists this ribosomal RNA (211 nucleotides) under uncultured bacterium. Its description in RNAcentral is "partial 16S ribosomal RNA". It matches the Rfam family "Bacterial small subunit ribosomal RNA", at positions 1290 to 1500 of the family's 1533-position model. The record is from RNAcentral.